ACUCCUACGGGAGGCAGCAGUAGGGAAUCUUCCACAAUGGGCGCAAGCCUGAUGGGGCAACACCGCGUGAGUGAAGAAGGGUUUCGGCUCGUAAAGCUCUGUUUGUUAAAGAAGAACACGUAUGAGAGUAACUGUUCAUACGUUGACGGUAUUUAACCAGAAAGUCACGGCUAACUACGUGCCAGCAGCCGCGGUAAUACGUAGGUGGCAAGCGUUAUCCGGAUUUAUUGGGCGUAAAGAGAGUGCAGGCGGUUUCUAAGUCUGAUGUGAAAGCCCCUCGGCUUAACCGGAGAAGUGCAUCGGAAACUGGAUAACUUGAGUGCAGAAGAGGUAGUGGAACUCCAUGUGUAGCGGUGGAAUGCGUAGAUAUAUGGAAGAACACCAGUGGCGAAGGCGGCUACCUGGUCUGCAACUGACGCUGAGACUCGAAAGCAUGGGUAGCGAACAGGAUUAGAUACCCCUGGUAGGAUAGCG
This 474-nucleotide ribosomal RNA is filed under the name uncultured bacterium. RNAcentral describes it as "bacterial SSU rRNA". It matches the Rfam family "Bacterial small subunit ribosomal RNA", at positions 335 to 801 of the family's 1533-position model. The record is from RNAcentral.